UACGAAGGGGGCUAGCGUUGCUCGGAAUUACUGGGCGUAAAGCGCACGUAGGCGGGUUCUUAAGUCGGUGGUGAAAUCCUGGAGCUCAACUCCAGAACUGCCUUCGAAACUGGGAAUCUUGAGUCCGGGAGAGGUGAGUGGAACUGCGAGUGUAGAGGUGAAAUUCGUAGAUAUUCGCAAGAACACCAGUGGCGAAGGCGGCUCACUGGCCCGAUACUGACGCUGAGGCACGAAAGCGUGGGGAGCAAACAGG
Molecule: ribosomal RNA, 253 nt
Filed under: uncultured bacterium
Lineage: Bacteria
Description: partial 16S ribosomal RNA
Rfam family: Bacterial small subunit ribosomal RNA
Source: RNAcentral